CCUACGGGAGGCAGCAGUGAGGAAUAUUGGUCAAUGGGCGCUAGCCUGAACCAGCCAAGUAGCGUGAAGGAUGACUGCCCUAUGGGUUGUAAACUUCUUUUAUAUGGGAAUAAAGUGCAGUAUGUAUACUGCUUUGCAUGUACCUUAUGAAUAAGGAUCGGCUAACUCCGUGCCAGCAGCCGCGGUAAUACGGAGGAUCCGAGCGUUAUCCGGAUUUAUUGGGUUUAAAGGGAGCGUAGGCGGGUUGUUAAGUCAGUUGUGAAAGUUUGCGGCUCAACCGUAAAAUUGCAGUUGAUACUGGCAUCCUUGAGUACAGUAGAGGUAGGCGGAAUAAGUUAAGUAGCGGUGAAAUGCUUAGAGAUAACUUAGAACUCCGAUAGCGAAGGCAGCUUACCAGACUGCGACUGACGCUGAAGCACGAGAGCGUGGGUAGCGAACAGGAUUAGAUACCCUAGUAGUC
This 460-nucleotide ribosomal RNA is filed under the name uncultured bacterium. RNAcentral's name for it is "partial 16S ribosomal RNA". It matches the Rfam family "Bacterial small subunit ribosomal RNA", at positions 338 to 795 of the family's 1533-position model. The record is from RNAcentral.